AAGUACAAGAAGUGUUGGAUGAAGGGUAGCAUAGUUGGAAGAAUUUUAUAUUUUAAAUUUUAGGAUCUCCUUUAAUCAUUGGGUAAGAUUAGAUGUUUUAAUACUGUUAAGAGCAAUAUAAUAACUAAAUUUUUCAGUAUCAUUUGGCGCGGCAGACUUGCUUGGAUCACAGCUUGUUAGCAAUCAUUUCGGCCUGAUCUUCAAUUUCUUUCUGAAGUGG
RNAcentral lists this unclassified non-coding RNA (220 nucleotides) under Hevea brasiliensis (rubber tree). The record is from RNAcentral. Lineage: Eukaryota; Viridiplantae; Streptophyta; Magnoliopsida; Malpighiales; Euphorbiaceae.